AACGGCAAAGUGGGUGGAGAAGGUGGGACCAAGAAGGGACCAGGAGGGAGAAAGGGGGACCAGGAAGAAGGUGGGACCACGAGGAACCAGGAGGGAGAAGGUUUGACCAGGAGGGAGAAGGUGGGACCACGAGGGACCAGGAGGGAGAAGGUGGGAGAAGGUUUGACCAGGAGGGAGAAGAUGGGACCAGAACGAAACCAGGAAGGAGAAUGUGGGACCAGGAAGAAGAAAGGGGGACCAGGAAGAAGGUGGGACCAGGAGGGAGAAAGAGGGACCAGGAGGGAGAAGGUGGGACCAGGAAGGAGAAAGGGGGACCACGAGGGAGAAAGAGGGACCAGGAGGGAGAAGGUGGGACCACGAGGGAGAAGGUGCGAGAAGGUUUGACCAGCAUGGAGAAGGUGGGACCAGGAUGGAGAAGAGGGGACCAGGAUGGAGAAGGUGGAACCAGGAAGGAGAAGGUGGAACCAGGAUGGAACCAGGAAGGAGAAAGGGGGACCAGGAAGGAGAAAGCGGGACCAGGAAGGAGAAAGGGGGACCAGGAAGAAGGUGGGACCAGGAGGGAGAAAGAGGGACCAGGAAGGAGAAGGUGGGACCAAGAGGGAGAAGGUGGGACCAGGAGGCAGAAGGUGGGAUCAGGAUGAAACCAGGAGGGAGAAUGUGGGACCAGGAAGGAGAAAGGGGGACCAGGAGGGAGAAAGGGGGACCAGGAGGGAGAAAGGGAGAUGAGGAUGAAACCAGGAGGGAGAACGUUUGACCAGGAGUGAAAAGUUGGGACCGGAAGGGAGAAAGGGGGACCACGAGGGAGAAGAGGGGACCAGGAAGGAGAAGGUGGGACGAGGAGGGAGAAGGUGGGACGAGGAGGGAGAAAGUGGGACCAGGAGGGAGAAAGAGGGACCAGGAAGAAGAAAGGGGGACCAGGAGGGAGAAAGGGGGACCAGGAGGAAGGUGGGACCAGGAGGAAGAAGGUGGGACCAGGAAGGAGAAGGUGGGACCAGGAGGGAGAAGGUGGGACGAGGAGGGAGAAAGGGGGAC
This is a long non-coding RNA of Cuculus canorus (common cuckoo), 1032 nucleotides long. RefSeq lists it as uncharacterized. The transcript is spliced from 3 exons. The record is from RefSeq and is a predicted model, not a curated record. Lineage: Eukaryota; Metazoa; Chordata; Aves; Cuculiformes; Cuculidae.